Molecule: ribosomal RNA, 506 nt
Filed under: uncultured bacterium
Lineage: Bacteria
Description: partial 16S ribosomal RNA
Rfam family: Bacterial small subunit ribosomal RNA
Source: RNAcentral
AUUGAACGCUGGCGGCAGGCCUAACACAUGCAAGUCGAACGGCAGCACAGAAGAGCUUGCUCUUUGGGUGGCGAGUGGCGGACGGGUGAGUAAUGUCUGGGAAACUGCCCGAUGGAGGGGGAUAACUACUGGAAACGGUAGCUAAUACCGCAUAACGUCGCAAGACCAAAGUGGGGGACCUUCGGGCCUCACACCAUCGGAUGUGCCCAGAUGGGAUUAGCUAGUAGGUGGGGUAAUGGCUCACCUAGGCGACGAUCCCUAGCUGGUCUGAGAGGAUGACCAGCCACACUGGAACUGAGACACGGUCCAGACGCCUACGGGAGGCAGCAGUGGGGAAUAUUGCACAAUGGGCGCAAGCCUGAUGCAGCCAUGCCGCGUGUAUGAAGAAGGCCUUCGGGUUGUAAAGUACUUUCAGCGGGGAGGAAGGCGGUGAGGUUAAUAACCUUGCCGAUUGACGUUACCCGCAGAAGAAGCACCGGCUAACUCCGUGCCAGCAGCCGCAGUAA